UACGUAGGGUGCGAGCGUUGUCCGGAAUUAUUGGGCGUAAAGAGCUCGUAGGCGGCUUGUCGCGUCGGAUGUGAAAGCCCGGGGCUUAACCCCGGGUCUGCAUUCGAUACGGGCAGGCUAGAGUUCGGUAGGGGAGAUCGGAAUUCCUGGUGUAGCGGUGAAAUGCGCAGAUAUCAGGAGGAGCACCGGUGGCGAAGGCGGUUCUCUGGGCAUGAACUGACGCUGAGGAGCGAAAGUGUGGGGAGCGAACAGG
Molecule: ribosomal RNA, 253 nt
Filed under: uncultured bacterium
Lineage: Bacteria
Description: partial 16S ribosomal RNA
Rfam family: Bacterial small subunit ribosomal RNA
Source: RNAcentral